CUUUCUGUCACGUUUUUCUGAGGACUGGGGAAUGCGAGUUGCCUCAAGAGAAAGAAGCACAUAGGCCAGUACGGGCUCUGUAAAAAGAGACCUUUUCUGGUGAGACUGUGAAAAAGGGACCGGGCAAUCUGUCAGCUUCUGGUGCUGGUGUGUGUAGAAGCGUUUUCUUGGGAGAGACCGUGCUGGAUGGAUUUUGCCAUAUUGCUUUGUGCUUUAAUACCCGUGACUGGAUUUACCCAUCAGCUGUUCCACUCAGUGCAGCGAGCUCCUUGGUGAAAAGCUAUUCCCACACUUCUGCGUGAUAUCAAAAACAUGAGUGUGAACGUGGCUGCGUGUUUCCUCUGAGGAGUGAGGCCCUGGGCGAGCCUCCCAGCAUGGCUGCUACCUCCGUGCUCUGGUGGCGUUCCCCUUCGUGCCCUCUGAUCAGGUUCAUUUGUGCCCUCCCUCGUUUCCCUCCUUUUGCAGAGGCGCAGCUGGGUCCCUGACAGGCAGCCCACGUGAGUGCACUCUGCCCUGUAAUCCAAUAGGACAUGUGCACUGUGCGUGCUCCUGGCUCGGCGCUAUGGACAGCAAAAGCCUCGGUUUUUGGUCCAGAAAGCUGAUUAGGAGAGACACAGCGCAAAGAGAGAGCAGUGUUGUGCGAGAACCCUGCCCUGCCUCGUUUCAUGUAGGACGUUGCCUUUAGUUCCCUGUCGUUGGUCUGGAUGAUGCACAGAGCAGCUGAGCCACCACAGCUCCCUGCACAGUCUGCGCUCGUGUUAGCACCAGCUGUGUGGCUCCGGUCAGGCUUCGUGGUGUGCUGAGCUGACAGCGCAGGAAUUAAAAGGUUGCAACACCUUCACAUUUGUUUUCUUACCUCCUCGCCCCAUCCUCUGCAAGAUUUGCUGUAUUGAUUUGUGUCAGUGAUUCAAGAGACUGUCACAAGUGAUGGUGAGUUAUACAGUCAAGGUGGAAAAGAACUGUCUCCUACGAAAAGAUCUGACAGAGAAAAAUUCAGAAAAUGCCAUUUGAAUUGAAGAGUGGGUCAAGACACCUGCCAAGGGAGAGGAUGGAUGUCUCUCCUGCAGACCUGGAGAGGCGAUAUGGCCUUGGAACAGCUUGUGACGUAGGAACUAUGAAGGACAGAAUAUACCAGGACAGGGAGAAAUAACGUUGCACUCCCUAUAUGCAUUAGAGACAAUUUAUAAAGCAAUUUGAGAGCUUAGUAUAGAAGAUUCUUUAUCAGUGCAUAAAGAAUAAUCGUUUGAUCAAUGAUUGUCCAACAAUGUAGGGAAUUUGAUAAACUCCCAGGCUGAAUUUCUCUGGCCUUGGUCUGCAUAUUGAUUUUAUUUCAAGAAUAAUAGAGUAAAUGCAGUAAAUGGCUGGUAUGGAUGUGUUGUGAAGAGCAGGACAAUGUUUUGGAGCUGUGAAGUCCUGCGUUGCUGCCACUGCUUAACUACUUCAGAGGCCUCAAAGAUUCACCGGUGAGACUUUCUUCCCUCCGUAUCCCGUAGCUGUUCUAAGACUGCUUGUCUUGAAUCUGGCCCUGGGCAGAGAUGAACAGCUGAGAAAGAGACUCUGGAUUGACUUUGUGUUCCUGUCCACACACCGUUACACUAAGUAAUGGAACAGUUACAGUCACUGUCAAGCAAGAGCAGGUUGGGGUGUUCUGUAUCCAGCUGCCCCUCCAGCGAACGUUGCUGUAGAUAAGUGACCAGCCGGUGGGGCUGAGGCAAAUCCCCUGCUGAACCCCCAGUGCCCAGAUCACAGCAGGUUCGUGGGCUGUCGCAGAGCUGGACCCGAGCAGCGGAUGCGUAUUGGGAAGGAGCUGGAAUUCCCUUGCUCAGAAUAGCCCAGAAAAGAUGAAAGAGGAUUAAACAGAGCUGGAUGUUGGAGAGGUACCCGGUCUCAGUGACUGCCUUGUCUUCCCUUGGGCGCCUUAGGCACCAGCGAGCUCACGUACGCUGUGUGAAGCGCAGCCAGCCCCCCUGCAUGUCACCACCACCUCUCCUCAGCCUGAGGCUUACGACUGCCUUGAGCAGACCCCAGCAGGCAUCCCGAGGAUGGGCACUACAGCUGGAGAGUGCACAAGGAGAUGUGUCCAGGUUUGGCUCCACUAAACCCAGAAGUGAGAGGGCCAGGAAGGGAAACCAGGAGUGUGCACACAUGUCAGAGGCUGGAAGGGAUUUACCUCCCUGCAUUUCCAAUUGCUUGUUUUCUAUCUGGGGAAAAUCCCUUUUGACAGCCCAGGCGGUGAGCUUCUAAUUCCUGUCUCCGGCUCAUUUUUCACUUCAAUCCCUCAGCGAACGGAUUUUAAUGCUUGAUGGAUUCAAACAAAAUUAUUUCCGUUCCUGUGGCUUUGCAAAAGCCUCUAGGGUGUGUGUGUGCACGCAGGGGAGGAGGGAUGGGGCUUGUUUUCGUUACACUCCAAUAAGCCUCCUCUCCAGGGGAAAUGUAUUUCAUUUCUU
Oxyura jamaicensis (ruddy duck) is the source of this 2447-nucleotide long non-coding RNA. RefSeq lists it as uncharacterized. The transcript has 3 exons. The record is from RefSeq and is a predicted model, not a curated record. NCBI's taxonomy places the organism in Eukaryota, Metazoa, Chordata, Aves, Anseriformes, Anatidae.